GGCUUUUCGUCUCUGUUCAGCGGGGAAGCAGCGAGGUUCCCUCCAGAUAGCGGUGAAGGGCGGCUUCCUAACUUUGUUUCCCAAGUCCCCUAACUUCGGAAUGCUUCUGCAUUGGUUCUUGCUCAGUGUCAUACCAGCGACUCCAAGAGUCAUGUCACCCACUUAGCAGGAGUACUUCUACUGAAAUGCCUUCGAAUUUCUCUUACUGGAUAUAUACCUACCAGCCGCUAGCAUGAAGAUGCCAGGACCGCUGCAAGUUAGCACUGGACAAAGUAGCAUCAACUUCUUCAUUUAGAGUUUCUUCAGUUAAAUUGCUGGGAUUUUCGACAAGGCUUUCCUUAUGUGGAUUAUUGGAGUGUGAUGCCCGAGAAUUCUCUACUUGUAGAAGCACGCCCACGGGACUGCAGAAGCCUUCACACCCACCCAGCACGCUCAGAUGGGAAUGAGUGAUGGCCAUCCAGUGACCAGCUGGAUCUGACUGCCUUACAAGACGCAUGUGAAGACGAAACUCGGGUUUCCAUGAGGAGACCACAGCUUGGGAUCCUGUCUGGAUGUACAAGCAGAAGCAUCUUCAUACUUUUCCAUUUCUAACCAUCAUGCCUCACCCCACCCUCCCAAGGCGACAUCUGCAGAGAGGUGGAACCAUCUAGGGAGGCCUGCCACUGUUUGCUGAGCUCCGGGUGAGGAUGAAGACACUUUGACAUGGCCAGCUUCAGACUCGGGAUCUGUCGGUGUUAGCAGCCGAAGGAGAAUGAGGAGGAAGAGGAGGAGAAAGAGGAGGAGGAAGUAAGACAGAGGGGGACAAGAGGACCAAGAGGGCACAUGGCUGAGGAGGAGGAGAACAACAACAACAACAACAACAACAACAACAACAAGAAGCUUGGUGUUUUCAGGAUGUGUUCCUGAGUCUCGUGAGUAGCACAUGGCAGUUGUUGUCACCUUGGGCUGAGCCGUGAAGAUUCUCACCCUCCCUUGUUGGGGAUGAACUCCGGGAUUCUAAGGAGAGGUCAGCAGGUGUUUCACAGACUGUUCCUGUUGGAGGAUUUGUCUGAUACUCUUCUCCUGAUUAGUCUGGGCUCUACAUUUCCCCAAGGGUGAAACUUGGAAGCCCUCUCCAGGAUGCAGCAGGUAGCUGAGGAGAAAACGAAGACUGACCAGCCCAGAGCUCAGAGCUUCCUCCCAUGCUCAGGAUUUACCACCAAUGCCAUUACAUCGGCCUCUUCUUGUAUGCCUCUGGAAACCACAUGUGUCCUCUGUUUGUAAUGGUUUGGCUAUGGUUGCUGGCCCCUCUUGGACAUUGUUUUCAGAACUUAAAGAAACAUUGCUUUAAAGAUUUAUUAGAACAUAUUUAAAAUAAAACCAUCUUCUCAUUUAGUAUGCAA
Molecule: long non-coding RNA, 1382 nt
Filed under: Mus musculus (house mouse)
Lineage: Eukaryota; Metazoa; Chordata; Mammalia; Rodentia; Muridae
Description: RIKEN cDNA 2610307P16 gene
Source: RNAcentral